Molecule: non-coding RNA, 2803 nt
Organism: Phasianus colchicus (ring-necked pheasant)
Lineage: Eukaryota; Metazoa; Chordata; Aves; Galliformes; Phasianidae
Source: RefSeq, a predicted model, not a curated record
ACUGCACGGAAGACGUUGGGAAAAAAGUAGCAGCAGAAUGGAAUCAAGAUACGAACUGGUAUGGCUUAUUUUUCCUGUCAGAUGAAGGAAGCACACUCUUCCUUAGUCAAAGGAAUUUUAUUUUUAAAAUAGAUUUCAUAUUUUUCUUCCUGCGAUCGCACCAAAAGGUCACACGGUUUAUGCUACUGUAACUUGUCACUGUGGGAUUUGAAAUGAUAAAAACAAGCAAUUUGCAAUCAAAUGUUCACAAGGGAAGAAGUUUAGAAGAACAUUCCUCUUUAUGCAUGACCGCUUGUUCCAAAUAAAUAUAAAUAACCUGAAAAACAGAGUGUCUUGUAAGAUGGCUCACAGCAUUGAGAACUUGAUGAAUCAAGCACUUCAAAGAAGGAACAUAAAAUUCUGGGAACUUGAGAUACAAGAAAAAGCGCAUGAAAGAUUGCAAAUAGAACAGCUAGUUUAAGAUACUACCUAGCAGCUUUUACAACAAGUGUUUCUUUUAGUACCAGAAGCACAGUAAGCUUUCUGAGCAGAGGACUCCAUUCCCACUCUGCCUGCAGCCUGACCCACACAGCUCCACUCUCCCCACUGGAAAAGAAUCAUAGUUUUUAUAUCACUACAUACACAGUCAAAUGCAAAAUUUGCUUUGUUGUUGCUUUAUUUCCUACUCCUACUUACAUAGAAACUGUUUUAAUCUCCUACAUACAGGAAAAAGACUGUGCCACACAAUUCAGAUCUGAUUAAACAGUAUCACAACAGCUGGUGAGUGAAAGCUGGUCAGUCCUCAUCACUGACCAACUGUGCUGUCAACUCUGAAGGUGCCUUUUUAUCCCUUCAAUUGCGUUACCACAGCAUCCACAACAACCGAUUGCUAAGACAAUUAUAGUUUUCAGAUGGUGGGAAAAGGCACCGAUGGUGAAGGCAUGCAGCAGACUCCUUCCUGUUCUUUCCACUGGAGUACACUGCAGUGAAAAGAAGGAGCUACGCACUACUUCAAGGUUUGAAUCCCAGCAUGGAAGGACUAAAAUGUCCAACAUACAGUGAAGAUCCAGUUUCAGUCCCUGACAACGAGAAACAGGCUUUGAAAAAAACCCUUAAUGCAGGUAUUGGUAUGUCAUUUAGGUAAAUCCAAAAUACACCACCAAGAGAUUAAUGCUGAAUUCAGCAAAAAAGCUUUUUUUAAUCUGCUUGCUUUCAUUAAGUACGUGCCCAUAGAGAAAGCAGAAUGCCCAAAUAUUUUUUCCCUCUACAAUCCAUGUUCAGCACCGCACCAAUCAACAAGGACAAGCAGGAGCCAGCAAGACAGUAUGAGUGAAAAGCAACAGCCACUAGGAAAAAAAAAGAACAAAGCACACACAAUUAAGGAGGAAAUACAUUUGACAUAGUGUAACGUUAAGUACUUUGAAUUAAAAGAUACAGACAGGCUCUAGCCACAAUGGUUGAAAAUUCAGAUCUAUCAAGUAAGCUGGCUGGAUGCCCUACAUACCCAGCUUGUUACUCCACUGCUUAUGACUGCAACGACAGUAACUUAUGGAAAUAUUUUGUUCAGCAGUCCAUUUUCUGGGACAAAGCGUCGAGCAAGGUGAAAGCAUAAGGAAACAGAACCUAGAGAACCAGAACCUAGGGGAAAAAAUGAAUCUUACAAAUUCCCAAACUUUCCUACUAUGCUGACUCCUCUACCUUUUGAUCAUGGACAACAGAUUUUUCAUUGCUGUCCCAUGAACGUUUCUCUUAAAUGUAGAAAGCACAAACCCAAGCUGAAGGCAGAUCAGCCACCACUACUAACAGAAUCACGAAUUUCCAAGAAUGACUCGCUUUUUCUUAGUAUAAUACAAUAGGUAAGUUAUUGAAUCUUAGCUCUGUCUUGCGUGGGUGAGAGAAAAAGCACAUCUAAAUUCACAAACUUUGGUAGAAAAUGAACUGGUGUAGACCGUGGUACAACAUGAUCUACAAAGUGAACACACAAAGGCAUUCUGAUGUUGUAUCAUAGUGCCCCUCCCAGCCAAACCAGCAAGGGCAUGUCUACUGACACCAGAGAGAUAACAAAAAAGUGUUUCUUGUGCAAAUCAACGUGAGACUUGGUGACCAAUGACUUAAAAAAAAAAAUCUCAAUGUUAUGGCAAGCAGAAAGAAAGAAAGAGGAACAAAUAAUCUGGAAGAACCCACUGAAACCCUAAAAUCCUUCUGAAGGCACUCAGUAGCAGGCAUAGCACUCAGUGCCCACAGCAAUGCUAUAAAGAAAGGACACUUCAAGUACUUGUAUUUUAGACUCUGGAUUCUGAAAAAGAAGCACAACUAAGCUGCUCAGUAGCUCAGCUGAAGAGGACUUUCACCAUCUCCUGUUUGCCAUCAGCAGAUCUGAUCAGUCUUGACCUGGAAAGGUGACUACCACAACUAGCCAACGCAGCUGAGUGCCUUGGAACAUUCUCAAUAGCACAAAGCAUACUAGCACUUGUAAAUGAAAGAGAACUUUGCUUUUUCACAGAGAAGAUAAUGACAUCACAAGCCACAGGGGCUCAGUUACUUGCUCUGUCUCUACAGUUCUAUCAAAAUUCAGCGGCUGUACAGCAUUGGAAAACAUGGCAUAUCCUUAGCUGUAUUGCAGGCAAAGAAAGAAUCCCUGCAACUGCCAAUUCUAAGGUAGCUCUCCAUAAUGAGAGCCAAUUAAAUUACACCUUGAAUGAAUCAACAUAGCACAAGUUAAGAAGUGGCAAGGCAUGCAUGCAGAGACCUGCAUUUUCAAGGAACAAGAACUGGCAGAAUCAGGCACAAUGAUGCAUUUACAAUAAACUGUACUCAUACAAAA